Molecule: small nuclear RNA, 236 nt
Filed under: Canis lupus familiaris (dog)
Lineage: Eukaryota; Metazoa; Chordata; Mammalia; Carnivora; Canidae
Description: U4 spliceosomal RNA (ENSCAFG00000045084.2, ENSCAFG00805012051.1)
Rfam family: U4 spliceosomal RNA (bases 1-77)
Source: RNAcentral
AGCUUUGCGCAGUGGCAGUAUCGUAGCCAAUGAGGUUUAUCCGAGGCGCGAUUAUUGCUAAUUGAAAACAUAGGCAAGUGUCAAGUGAGCCAUUAGUAGCAAACGGCUGUCCUGAGAGCUUCUCCGCAAUAACAACGCAGUGGCUCAGAAAUACAUAUUGCAUGUGGAACAGCAUCCAUGUCCAUGUGCACAAAACACAAUACUUUUUGAGAUUUUAUUUAUCUGUGGAGAGGAAA